AGGUAGUUAGUUUUAAGCAAAAUAUUUGAUUUCGGCUCAAAAGCUUAUGGUUCAAGUCCAUAACUGCCCA
This 70-nucleotide transfer RNA is filed under the name Lophotus capellei (unicornfish). RNAcentral's name for it is "tRNA-Arg". It matches the Rfam family "tRNA". From Rfam's summary of the family: Transfer RNA (tRNA) molecules are approximately 80 nucleotides in length. Their secondary structure includes four short double-helical elements and three loops (D, anti-codon, and T loops). Further hydrogen bonds mediate the characteristic L-shaped molecular structure. tRNAs have two regions of fundamental functional importance: the anti-codon, which is responsible for specific mRNA codon recognition, and the 3' end, to which the tRNAs corresponding amino acid is attached (by aminoacyl-tRNA synthetases). tRNAs cope with the degeneracy of the genetic code in two manners: having more than one tRNA (with a specific anti-codon) for a particular amino acid; and 'wobble' base-pairing, i.e. permitting non-standard base-pairing at the 3rd anti-codon position. Lineage: Eukaryota; Metazoa; Chordata; Actinopteri; Lampriformes; Lophotidae. The record is from RNAcentral.